RNAcentral lists this ribosomal RNA (1343 nucleotides) under uncultured bacterium. RNAcentral's name for it is "16S ribosomal RNA". It matches the Rfam family "Bacterial small subunit ribosomal RNA", at positions 28 to 1378 of the family's 1533-position model. The record is from RNAcentral.
GACGAACGCUGGCGGCGUGCUUAACACAUGCAAGUCGAACGGAAAGGCCCUGCUUUUGUGGGGUGCUUGAGUGGCGAACGGGUGAGUAACACGUGAGUAACCUGCCCUUGACUUUGGGAUAACUUCAGGAAACUGGGGCUAAUACCGGAUAGGAGCUCCUGCUGCAUGGUGGGGGUUGGAAAGUUUCGGCGGUUGGGGAUGGACUCGCGGCUUAUCAGCUUGUUGGUGGGGUAGUGGCUUACCAAGGCUUUGACGGGUAGCCGGCCUGAGAGGGUGACCGGCCACAUUGGGACUGAGAUACGGCCCAGACUCCUACGGGAGGCAGCAGUGGGGAAUAUUGCACAAUGGGCGGAAGCCUGAUGCAGCAACGCCGCGUGCGGGAUGACGGCCUUCGGGUUGUAAACCGCUUUCGCCUGUGACGAAGCGUGAGUGACGGUAAUGGGUAAAGAAGCACCGGCUAACUACGUGCCGGCAGCCGCGGUGAUACGUAGGGUGCGAGCGUUGUCCGGAUUUAUUGGGCGUAAAGGGCUCGUAGGUGGUUGAUCGCGUCGGAAGUGUAAUCUUGGGGCUUAACCCUGAGCGUGCUUUCGAUACGGGUUGACUUGAGGAAGGUAGGGGAGAAUGGAAUUCCUGGUGGAGCGGUGGAAUGCGCAGAUAUCAGGAGGAACACCAGUGGCGAAGGCGGUUCUCUGGGCCUUUCCUGACGCUGAGGAGCGAAAGCGUGGGGAGCGAACAGGCUUAGAUACCCUGGUAGUCCACGCUGUAAACGGUGGGUACUAGGUGUGGGGUCCAUUCCACGGGUUCCGUGCCGUAGCUAACGCUUUAAGUACCCCGCCUGGGGAGUACGGCCGCAAGGCUAAAACUCAAAGGAAUUGACGGGGCCCCGCACAAGCGGCGGAGCAUGCGGAUUAAUUCGAUGCAACGCGUAGAACCUUACCUGGGUUUGACAUGGAUCGGGAGUGCUCAGAGAUGGGUGUGCCUCUUUUGGGGUCGGUUCACAGGUGGUGCAUGCCUGUCGUCAGCUCGUGUCGUGAGAUGUUGGGUUAAGUCCCGCAACGGGCGCAACCCUUGUUCACUGUUGCCAGCACGUUAUGGUGGGGACUCAGUGGAGACCGCCGGGGUCAACUCGGAGGAAGGUGGGGAUGACGUCAAGUCCUCAUGCCCCUUAUGUCCAGGGCUUCACGCAUGCUACAAUGGCUGGUACAGAGAGUGGCGAGCCUGUGAGGGUGAGCGAAUCUCGGAAAGCCGGUCUCAGUUCGGAUUGGGGUCUGCAACUCGACCUCAUGAAGUCGGAGUCGCUAGUAAUCGCAGAUCAGCAACGCUGCGGUGAAUACGUUCCCGGG